This is a long non-coding RNA of Coregonus clupeaformis (lake whitefish), 353 nucleotides long. RefSeq lists it as uncharacterized. The transcript has 3 exons. The record is from RefSeq and is a predicted model, not a curated record. NCBI's taxonomy places the organism in Eukaryota, Metazoa, Chordata, Actinopteri, Salmoniformes, Salmonidae.
GGAGAACUUGCACAAUUGGUGGCUGACUAAAUACUUUUUUUCCCCCACUGUACAUGAUGUUUUCACCUCAGUGAUAUCCAGGUCUCCUGCACCACCAUCCGCACCACCAACCUCACCCACCUCUUCAUCCACCCCAGAGUUUGUAGUGAUCAUGGUGUCUGUGUGUCUAACUGUGUUGGUGUUAACUGUCAUCCUGUUCACAGUCUACAGAUGGAAAUGUAACAAGGUGCAAGGGCUGGUCUCCUCCAGCAGACAGACCUCUAGCAGAACAAACACCCACCCAGGAAACAGUGAGGAGGGGAACCAGGACUAUGAGAAUGACCCUGCUACAGACACCAUGGUUCAUAUCAAAA